AUUGAACGCUGGCGGCAUGCUUUACACAUGCAAGUCGAACGGUAACAGGCCUUCGGGUGCUGACGAGUGGCGACCGGGGGAGUAAUGCAUCGGAACGUGCCCAGAGGUGGGGGAUAACGCAGCGAAAGCUGUGCUAAUACCGCAUGUGAUCUGAUGAUGAAAGCGGGGGACCAGGCAGCAAUGUUUGGCCUCGCGCCUUUGGAUCAGCCGAUGUCGGAUUAGGUAGUUGGUGGGGUAAAGGCCUACCAAGCCGACGAUCUGUAGCUGGUCUGAGAGGACGACCAGCCACACUGGGACUGAGACACGGUCCAGACUCCUACGGGAGGCAGCAGUGGGGAAUUUUGGACAAUGGGCGCAAGCCUGAUCCAGCAAUGCCGCGUGCGGGAAGAAGGCCUUCGGGUUGUAAACCGCUUUUGUACGGAAAGAAAAGGCUCUGGCUAAUACCUGGGGCUGAUGACGGUACCGUAAGAAUAAGCACCGGCUAACUACGUG
Molecule: ribosomal RNA, 492 nt
Filed under: uncultured bacterium
Lineage: Bacteria
Description: partial 16S ribosomal RNA
Rfam family: Bacterial small subunit ribosomal RNA
Source: RNAcentral